RNAcentral lists this ribosomal RNA (497 nucleotides) under uncultured bacterium. RNAcentral describes it as "partial 16S ribosomal RNA". It matches the Rfam family "Bacterial small subunit ribosomal RNA", at positions 28 to 507 of the family's 1533-position model. The record is from RNAcentral.
GAUGAACGCUGGCGGCGUGCCUAAUACAUGCAAGUCGAGCGAACGGACGAGAAGCUUGCUUCUCUGAUGUUAGCGGCGGACGGGUGAGUAACACGUGGAUAACCUACCUAUAAGACUGGGAUAACUUCGGGAAACCGGAGCUAAUACCGGAUAAUAUUUUGAACCGCAUGGUUCAAAAGUGAAAGACGGUCUUGCUGUCACUUAUAGGUGGAUCCGCGCUGCAUUAGCUAGUUGGUAAGGUAACGGCUUACCAAGGCAACGAUGCAUAGCCGACCUGAGAGGGUGAUCGGCCACACUGGAACUGAGACACGGUCCAGACUCCUACGGGAGGCAGCAGUAGGGAAUCUUCCGCAAUGGGCGAAAGCAUGACGGAGCAACGCCGCGUGAGUGAUGAAGGUCUUCGGAUCGUAAAAAUCUGUUAUUAGGGAAGAACAUAUGUGUAAGUAACUGUGCACAUCUUGACGGUACCUAAUCAGAAAGCCACGGCUAACUACGUG